Pantherophis guttatus is the source of this 9101-nucleotide non-coding RNA. The record is from RefSeq and is a predicted model, not a curated record. Lineage: Eukaryota; Metazoa; Chordata; Lepidosauria; Squamata; Colubridae.
ACUACCGCUGCCGUCGCUGAUUAACGGCCGCCCCGCCUCUGCUCCUCCGCUGCCCCCUCCCUGCCUCUCUGUUCCCUCCCCUUCCCGCCGUCGUUGCUUGCUGCCGCCGCUGCCAGCGCCGCCUGAACUGAAGCGAACUCCAGAGCGAACUGAAGAGCAGGAGGCGGUGAAGGCACCACGGCGGCGGCAGCGGCGGGGCUGAGAGUCGUCAGCCUCAAGCAAACGGCAGAAGCGGGAGGGGAGGGAGGCGAGGCGGCGCGGGAGACGAGGCGGAACUACCACCACCAGCAGCAGCGGUGGGAACAACAACAACGGAAGCACCGCCGGUGGCCGGGAACAGCCUUACAAUACGCGGCGGCGGCGGCGGCAGCAGCAGCAGCAGCGGGGACUCCUCGGGAAACAGCCAAGUCCGCCGCCCCUUUGCCUGCCUCCUCGCCUCCCUCCCCGCCGCGGAGACAGACCAGGGGGCAGUAGCGCCGAGAAAAGGGAGCCGCGACCAACCUCUGCGUGUGCGGCGAGGGAGAGGAGUGGAAACUACCGAAGACUGCGCCGCUUUGGAGAAAGGCAUCCAGUGGGAGCGGCGACAGGAAGCGGCGGCGGCGGCGGUGGAGGAGGAUCACUGUACAGUCGGGGUGGUGGAGGAAGACUAGGGCGCAAUCCUCUGUGGUGGCGGCGGCUGAGGAGGGUUUGGGGUGGCGGUCAUCGAGUUCUCCCCUUUUAUUUUCCUCCGAGACCCGCCGCGGCGUGCUUGUGGCUUCUUCGUUGAGGAGACCCCCUUUUUCCGCUCUCUUGUUUUUCUAAGGGGGGGAAGAGGCCUCUCCCCCCCUCAACCCACAUAACACACCCUGUUUCUUCCCCGCCUGGCGUGCACCCAGUGCGGUGGUUGGACGAGUGCUGGUGCGGGCGCUUGCUCGCUCUCUGUUUGGAAUAUGGUUGGGGAAAUGGAAACGAAGGAGAAGCCCAAGCCGAGCCCCGAUUACCUGAUGCAGCUGAUGAACGACAAGAAGCUCAUGAGCAGCCUCCCUAACUUCUGCGGGAUAUUCAACCACCUCGAGAGGCUGUUGGACGAAGAGAUUAGCAGAGUACGGAAAGACAUGUAUAAUGACACAUUAAAUGGUAGUACGGAGAAGAGAAGUGCGGAGUUACCUGAUGCUGUGGGACCUAUUGUACAGCUACAAGAAAAACUAUAUGUGCCUGUAAAAGAAUAUCCAGAUUUCAAUUUUGUUGGAAGAAUUCUUGGGCCUAGAGGGCUAACAGCUAAACAACUUGAAGCUGAAACAGGAUGUAAGAUAAUGGUCCGAGGCAAAGGGUCCAUGAGAGACAAGAAGAAGGAAGAACAAAACAGAGGCAAGCCCAAUUGGGAACAUCUGAAUGAAGAUUUGCAUGUAUUAAUCACUGUGGAAGAUGCUCAAAAUAGAGCAGAAAUCAAAUUGAAGAGGGCUGUGGAGGAAGUAAAAAAAUUAUUAGUACCUGCAGCAGAGGGAGAAGAUAGCCUUAAAAAGAUGCAGUUAAUGGAACUUGCAAUUCUGAAUGGUACCUACCGAGACGCCAAUAUCAAAUCACCCCUUGCCUUUUCUCUUGCAGCAACAGCCCAGGCUCCAAGGAUUAUCACAGGGCCUGCCCCUGUUCUCCCACCAGCUGCCCUGCGUACCCCUACGCCAGCUGGCCCUACCAUAAUGCCUUUGAUCAGACAAAUACAGACCGCUGUCAUGCCAAAUGGAACUCCUCACCCAACUGCUGCAAUAGUUCCCCCAGGACCUGAAGCUGGUUUAAUUUACACACCUUAUGAAUAUCCCUACACACUGGCACCUGCUACAUCAAUUCUUGAGUAUCCUAUUGAACCCAGUGGGGUAUUAGGUAUGGCUUUCCCAACGAAAGGCUAAGAAUUCAAGAAUGGUCUUAACUGAACCUCAUCAGAGCUGACUUUUAACAAAUGUUUAGUUUUCAGCAGCCUUGAAAAAAAUGUAGCCUAGCAGUCAGUGACUUACUUGCACUUUUUUGCACAUAGAAAUAAAAAUGCUAUUAAUUUGAUGUAGCCUAUGCUAUGGCAAAGUAGCUGUGAUUUAUGAGUGUAUGGUAGUAUACUGACUGCUAUGUAUUCUGUACUAUUUGCUUUACUAAUCACCUAAUUCAUUGCAGUUCAUAGUUAUUGACUUAGUUUUUAAAACAGUCUGUAGGAUUGAGGAAUUGUGUUAUAUAUUUUUUAAAAAUGGUAAAAACUGGAAGUUGUUUAAAAAUUAGCAAAGAACCUUCAGUAUUAAAAAUGGCAUUAUUUAAGAUAGUCCUGCUGCAAGGAAGGCACUUCAGUGAAUAUGUGACUAGUAAAGCUCAAUUGUGUUUGGGUCUAAUAGAUUUCAUGAAAUACUGUAAUCAAGUUUGUAAAUGAAUGGAUAAUGCAGGUUAAGGCCUGGAUGUUUAAAAUAAAUGCAAUAUUAAUCUGCACAGAUCUAAUUCAUAUAUUAAGGUUAAAAUUUGAAACUACUGUGCCUUAACUUGUUGCUUUCUUUAAAUAGUAUUUUAAGAAAGUGAUCAUUUAAAAUCCAUUUUAAUAAGCCUGCUGUUAAUGUUUUAUCAAAUGUUUUCUAACUGUCUUGGUAAUUGCAAUUUAACUAGGUGCGGUGGCUACUAAAGUUCGAAGGCACGAUAUGCGUGUCCAUCCUUACCAAAGGAUUGUGACCGCAGACAGAGCCGCCACCGGCAACUAACCUAUGACCUUCUGACCUCUGAACUCUUCACCCAAUGAUGACCUGACCAUGCCUGCCUGCUGAUCAGUUAACUGGUAAUCGCCUUUGCUUGUCUGUCUUCAGUGCAGCGAGCUGAGGCAUUUGUCCGUUCGUCUUACCAUCUAACAAAAAGACAAAGAAUUUGUUGUCCUCCAACUCAGCUUUUUUUCCCUGUUUGGGUGAAAGUGGUUCUAGAACCUGCACUGAAUAGUAGUAAAGCAAUAAGGUCCAAUUCAUCCUUCCGCACUGAUCAUCUUUUAGUGUCCUACCCUAAAAAUGGUAAGAAGGGCCUCAUUUAAGAGAUGGAAGCAGAUGUCCCUUAACUCCCUGAUGUCAGAGGCAGUUACUGUGAGACUUCUAGGAAUCUUUCUCUUCUCAUAAAGAAGUCAAAGCUCUCUUUGAAUGUACUGUGUGAUGAUGCAUCAUGCAUGAACCUUUGGUCAGGGAUAUCAUUGGUGAAGGGAUUCCUAAAAGUAUUCAAAAUUUGACAUGCAGUGUAAUCACUACCAAUGCCCUCAAAGGGCAGAAGAUGCAGCCUUUUUUAUAUUACCUGCCAAAUUGGGUGUUUUUAAGAAAAAAAAAAGUGCCAUGAAAGAUAGGUUACUGAAUUUUUGAACCACAUCAAUGCAUUAAAAGACAGCAACCCUAUCGAAGCUAACGCUGAGAUACAGUUCUUUUACUAUACAUCAACUUCCUUUUAAAAAUUACAUGAGUACAAGGUACAUGCAUUAUGUGUCACAUUACUGGGCAAACUGUUCAAAUAUUUUUUUAAACCUCCCUGUAUAGAGUAAAUUCAUAAGGAUAUAAAAGCCAUGCUUGCCUAUUUGCUGUAUACAUGUAAUGAAAUUGUAGAUAAAGUGUAGUGCAUUGAAACAAAUUGAAAAAAAAGUAGAUACUUUUACUAUACAAGGGUGCUGGUGCAGAAGAAAUAUAUAUUUUUGGAAAUGUAGCAUUUUAUACUUUCAAGUGUUAUAAAAAAGAAAAAAGAACAAAGAAACCCUUUAUUUCAUUAAAUGAUUUUUUCUGGUGGUUGUCGAGAAACAAAAGACCAAAAGAGCCUUUUUGUCUUUCUUUUUUUAUUUUUUAAGUAUUGGAAUAAGUAUAAAGAAAAGAAAGUGCCUUAUUUUCUUCAUGGUCAUUUAGUCAGGUGUGUCGUAUAAUCAGCUCCUCCCUAAGACAGCAAGUUAAUGCAUGCCACUCAGUCCGCCCAGUAUGUGAAAAGAAGCUGUGAGGAAAGACAAAUGAGUUGACUAUUAAAAUUACCUGGUUUUUGCCACAGCAUGAUGCAACCUUGCCAGAUCCCAAACUGUGAAAUAGAAUUGUUCCACCAACAGCCGACCGCAAUAUUUUUGUAACACGUUCCCUCUUCAAUUGUAGACAAUAUAUUUUUAUAAUACUUGCUCAGCCUUAAACCAAAGGGUUCUACGAUGCAGUUUCAUUCUAAAUCAAAUUAUAAGAUAACAAUAGUUAUAGAGUAGCAAGUGUUUGGGUUUUUUAUUAUUAUUUAGAGAUCAGUUAUCUUUUUCUGAUUGAACUAGAUGCAGGAAACUACAAAAGAACUUAAACUUGCUCCCAUAUAAUUUCGUCCAUGACUAAACCAAACAGUAAGAUUGAGCAUGUUAUAAGUUCUGGAUGAUUAGCUACAAUGCCAAGUGCGUAUGGAUUUACAUAAUUUUUCAUGAAACUUCUACUUGAGGAAUGUUAACUACUGGUUGCGCUUUCCCUUAAAGGAGGAAAAUCCAGCUGUGGUUCAGUUUGAAUUUUUAAAAGAAGUUUGUGUGGCUGAAUUAGUAUUAAUUAACACUAGUGUUUAUAAACACUUUACGCACAAAAGUGGAGUGUAAAAUUAAUGAGCAAGUAUCAACAUGGUCACGGCUUUGAAGCAAAUUGGCAAAGAUCAGGUGAUACCUUGCCCUUUAUAUUGUGUCAGCUUAUUCUCCUAAAAACCUUCACAGUUUCCAAAUCAAAGGUCAAUAGUAAGUUAGAUAAAGAGGGCUUAUUUUUUAAGCAUCUGCAUGGUGACUUUAUCAACAUUGUGUCUCACCUGGAAACAAGUAUCAGUUUAUUUACUAUGCAAUAAACAUUCAUCUUUUUGUACGCAGCUAGCUUUCCUUUUAUUCUGCCACUGGCUUUGUCUUCCUGUUACAUAACAUUUUUGUUGUUUUUUUAUUUGGUUUUACUUUUGGUAUAUGCUGUGCCAUUUUGAUUUUUGUUUGGUUAAAUAAACUUGCGACACUCAAACAUUUUGGAGAGAGGAUUGCUAUAGCGUUACCAGUAUUUGAUCCAGUUUCAUCUCAACUGUGAUAAACCUGGACAUUUUUAGAUGCUGAUCAGAGGUCUCUUCUUGGGAGAAGUGUGACUUCUAAAAGUAAUGUUUGUUCUGAAAAAAAAAAAAAGUUUUAAAACUUGGUUGAUAACAUUUUGGAUCAACUUAAAGCAUGACUUUUGAAUCUCUGAAUGCCUUGGUUCUCAGUAUUAUCAUCCUUUAUUGAAUUUUUCUUUCUUAAAAUAUGUAGUUUAAGUCUUUUUUCUGACAGUAUUAUGUAAUUUUUAGAGUGGGUAUAUGGGAGUGUCGCUUGUAUGUAACCGUACAGAUGACAUGUAUUUGUCUAUUCUUUUAUCUUAGUUUGAUGCUAUGUAUGUAACAUAACCAACCUAUUGCCUAUGAGAAACAUGUAAGAUAAUGUAUUUACAGCCAUUGUUACAAGUUUAUAAUGUAUUUUUCUAUCUUGUUUUAUAUGUAUGUUAUAUAACAUUCAGAAUAAUUUUUCCUGAUUGAGAAAAGGAUACAAAAAUGCAAAACCCACAAUUUUGAUAACUGAAAAUUGCUAAUUGUUUUGCAGUACUUUAUUAUUAUAUUGGGAGUGUUGUCUUUCUUAGGCUUUUAGUUAGCUACUGGAUUGAAUACAUUAGACAUAUUUGGGUUUUAGUUGGGUUUUUACAUAGCUUGCAUUUUAAUUCUUUGGUUCUUUGCUGUUUCUAUUAACCCAUAGCAUUAUUUUAAUAAAUGUUAUAAUACCAACCUACUAACUUUGGACUAUGUCAGUUUAUUAACCAUUACAUGUUUAAUUGAAUAAACAAGGAAGGACAGAAGAAUGUAAGUUAUGAGUUCUUGGACUAACCCUGAAGAAAUGACCACAGAUAACACAUGAUUUGUUUUAUGUUGUUUGUUUGGCUGACAUUCUGCACACUACCAUUGAAUUGGCUUUGGUCAUAUUGGACUUUUACCUUAUGGGUAAGUGCCAGUAGAGUGGGGAACAAGUAGCAUAUUUGCAGGUAAUCUUCUUUUAGAGUCUUGCCACUCGCCUUUCAGCAUCUGCAUUACUAAUUCCACAAUCUCCUUUUCUAAAUUAAUCACUGUCACCUCACAGCAAAAGGGCAAAGAUGCCAAUAUAUUGGUAUACAGUGUGUGCCCAAAGAAACCAGUUUGAUUCUUUGUUGAGCCUUUAUGAUAGUAACUUUUAGUUCGAUUUGAAUGUUCUGAUUAAAAUGACAGUUCAAGCAUCUCAGUACCUAAACAGCAUUAUUGUGCCCAUUUCUAAAUGUAUCUAAAGCAAGAAGUACCAUUAGCUUAGCAGGAUCCAUAUUUCUUCCAAUUUCUUUGUGAUCCUAAAGGUGAUUUUAGAAGCAGUCUUCAAAUGACAAGUCUCAGGUAAUUAAAUUGUCUUAAAGCAAACUGUUUCUUAAUAAACAGUUUUAAAAUUGUGGGUUCACUGCUUCUCAGGUGGAACAUUUCUUUUUUAUAUCUACGGUUUGUAGUAUUUAAAUGACAUCAUAGUACAGUUCAAAAUUAUUUAAAACCAAAGUAGAUAAUUUAUUAAUUACUGCAAAAAAGGUAUAUAAAAUAUCAAUUUUAAAAAGAAGUCUAACAUUAUUUUGUAUGCUUAUCUAGGAGAUAAAUGCUUGCAGAAAUCUAUUGUAAUAAAUUAUUCAAGUUUUUCAUGAAUAGAUAAUGGUUACUAAAAUAUGGCUAAUACGGCCUAUUCAUCUGUUUUCAAAUUUAAUAUAUUUUAUGGGAGACGUAUUUAUAUGGAACAGCAUUUGUUCAAAACAUUCCUUUCGAUGAUCCACUUCAGAGAAUUUAGGCUGAAACUUAUAUCCAUUUAUGUCAGAGUAAUAAGGCUUAAUUUUGAAUAGACAUAAAAUUGAGCUGUUAUAAGCACAACAUGAACAUUAUUUUUUAAAAAAUGAAGUCAAGCCUUUUCAUUUUUAAGAAAAAUAAGAUUUUGUGAAUAUAGUGGCAUAUGAAUCAGUAUUUCUUACCAAAAUAUGUAAUAUAUUUGAAACUGUAUUUCAUAAUAGCAUGCAACAUAAUCUUAACUCAUCAUCUAUUAGAAGAGUCUGGAUAAACAUAAGGAUUUACCAGCUAUGAAUUAUAUAAUAAAAGAGAAAUUGAAAUAAAGAUGAAGUAAAGCCAAAUGUCCCAAUAUAUUCAAGCCUAUUUUCCCGAAAAAUACACAAUAGGAAUGGGUUUUGUUCAAUAUUGUAGGAUCGAAUGUAAUAGGAAUAAAUCCAUUAACAAUAUGCAUGGAUGCAUACCUAUUUGAAAUCAUACCCACCAUAGACUAAACAGUACUAAUACUAAAAAUUAGGUAUUUUUUAUAGCUACCACUCCUUAUUUUUUUUGAUACAGAGGAAAACAAUCCAAAUGCUGCAGUGGUCAAAUAGCAUUUUUUACGAAUGUGGAAUGAAAAGCUAUUGACAAUUACGUAUACCUAAAAUUACCUAAGCCUUUAAAAAAAAAUACAUAUUUCAUGAUAACUUUCCAUAACAUCAGUCAGUAUCCCAUAUGAUUUGAUGAAAUGGCUGUUUAAUUAUGUUAAUUAAAGAAAUAAUAGAGGAAAAUUUAUCUGAGUUUGUAGGAUCACAUGAGUCAACAAAUAUAACAUUUCCACAUUUUUAACAUCAUUAGCUCACUUUCUAACAAAAAGUUACUUCUUUUGGAGGAAAACCAAUAUUUCCUGAGGUAAAUAUAAUUCUUUUAAUAGAUUGAAAACAAAAGUCAUAAAAGCUUUUCUGUAGCUAGAGUGAAAAUAAUGUAAAGAAUAUGUUAUUCAUAACGGUACUUUUGAUUUUGAAAAACAGCCAUAAUGUGAAGCUUAAAGAAGUCAGGUACUAUAAAUUAUUUUUAAGUAUGCUAAAUAUUAAAAAUUUUGUUUAGUACUUCCAUUCAGAGCAAGAAUCCAGCAGAGAGUUGUCCUUGGAGGAGGAUGAAGUGCAGUUUUUUCCAGUUCCCCCUUCGCCAUUUCAUUUCCCACAGUCUUCUAAACAGUACGAUCUUACUGGAACAAUGCAGGUGAUGCAUUGGUUUCAUGGGGUAGGAAAAUGCUUUCCCCCAAUUAAAAUUUGAACAUUAUUAUAGUUAAGGUAAAUUAAUACUAAAAUUAAAGUUGAAUUUAGACUGUGAUUUCUCUAAUAAAGUGGAGUGUAAAUAAAAGCAACUACUGUAAUUUCAUUUGAUCAAGUAAUAAAUUGCCAGUAUUGUUCCCUUUAGGAAGCCACAAAAGCAUUUGUUUUUGCUGGAACAAAUAUUUCUAGAACUUUAAACAUUUUAUGUUAGUAAUAGUUCUUUAGGCUUACAUUUGUAAAUCUCAUUUUUUUCAGCCUAUUAACUAGGGAACCACUGGAAUAAUUCAUGUUGGAAAUACUAAUUGAGAGUAGAAAGCCGGUCAAGAAUUCAUGCAGUGAAAUCAUCUGCAGCCCAUCUUAUGUUGCCAUAAAGCCCAUAAUUACAGAAUAUAUCUUGAUUUUAAAAAAAAAAAAGAUAUUCUGUCCGGGAUUUUGUACCUUUUUCCAGGUAUUUACAAUUGCCAGUCAAAUACUUUAUGUAAUACUCAAUGUUGAAUCAAACUGGUUAAAAAGGAACUGUGCUCCUGGUUCUUUUUAUGCUGCCGGCUAACUAACUGCAGGUGUGAACAUCCUGCCUCAGAAGUGGGUAUUUGAGAAGCACAGAUUAUUUAUUUGCAAUAAUCAGUUCUUGAUAUUAGAUAUGAUGGCAGUAAUUAAAUCAGAGUUACUGCCAGGAGAAAGAUUUGCAUUUGAGCAACUAAUUAUUAGACAAAAGAUUUUUUAAAAGAUAUAAAUAUCCUUUUGAGUUGUAUUAUUUGAAUUUUGUGUCCACGAUAUAACAUGUAUUAGGAAAAAUGGAUGUUGCCCAAACACAUGUAGAUAAAAACCAUCACACCUGUAAACAAUGUGCAAUGAAACUGGAAAGUACAUGCGCUUUAUGCUUAGACGCCAAAGGACAGCAUACAGGGCUGCCAUUACUUUUAUAUUUUGAAAAAUAAAAUUUUGUUCUGUAUGGAACUGUAUGGCAGAAUAAAGAAUGUACAUUUUGCACUCUUUAACUGUCAUUAAAGAUUUUGACACUUUCGUAUA